This 623-nucleotide ribosomal RNA is filed under the name uncultured Gammaproteobacteria bacterium. RNAcentral describes it as "bacterial SSU rRNA". It matches the Rfam family "Bacterial small subunit ribosomal RNA", at positions 1 to 887 of the family's 1533-position model. The record is from RNAcentral. Lineage: Bacteria; Pseudomonadati; Pseudomonadota; Gammaproteobacteria.
CGACGUCGCAUGCUCCCGGCCGCCAUGCGGCCGCGGGAAUUCGAUUAGAGUUUGAUCAUGGCUCAGAUUGAACGCUGGCGGCAGGCCUAACACAUGCAAGUCGAGCGGUAGAGAGAAGCUUGCUUCUCUUGAGAGCGGCGGACGGGUGAGUAAUGCCUAGGAAUCUGCCUGGUAGUGGGGGAUAACGUUCGGAAACGGACGCUAAUACCGCAUACGUCCUACGGGAGAAAGCAGGGGACCUUCGGGCCUUGCGCUAUCAGAUGAGCCUAGGUCGGAUUAGCUAGUUGGUGGGGUAAUGGCUCACCAAGGCGACGAUCCGUAACUGGUCUGAGAGGAUGAUCAGUCACACUGGAACUGAGACACGGUCCAGACUCCUACGGGAGGCAGCAGUGGGGAAUAUUGGACAAUGGGCGAAAGCCUGAUCCAGCCAUGCCGCGUGUGUGAAGAAGGUCUUCGGAUUGUAAAGCACUUUAAGUUGGGAGGAAGGGCAGUAAAUUAAUACUUUGCUGUUUUGACGUUACCGACAGAAUAAGCACCGGCUAACUCUGUGCCAGCAGCCGCGGUAAUACGAAUCACUAGUGAAUUCGCGGCCGCCUGCAGGUCGACCAUAUGGGAGAGCUCCC